Long non-coding RNA from Oncorhynchus tshawytscha (Chinook salmon), 564 nucleotides. NCBI's taxonomy places the organism in Eukaryota, Metazoa, Chordata, Actinopteri, Salmoniformes, Salmonidae. The record is from Ensembl.
UAUUUAGAUUGUCAUAAUGGCGACAAUUUCUUCCCCAACCCCCUUUCCUAUAAAACAUUAACACGCUAUGAACUGAUGCGCAUAAAUAAAUAACUGCAGCAAAACACUGAAAAAAAAGAUGCGCAUAGGAGAGCGCAUUAGAUACAUCAACUCGGACGUGUUUAAAAUCGAGUCUAAUCUAAUGUCGACUUAGCUUCUGGGAAACGGCAUUUAGCUACUGAAGCAUCCACCCGUAUGACCAGGAGGAGAGUGUGGGGUCCUGGAGGACAGAGGAACACUGCACACAAUCUCCUUCACCCGGCAUCCUGGAGUGUUGAUCGGUGAACUCCUUGUUUUGUUUCAUUCUUACUUAGUAGUAUUUGUAUUAGGAAUCCCCGUUAGUCCAAACAUAUUAAAGGACUUACAUUACAUAUAAAACAAAAAUAUAACAAAAUAUAACAUAAUUUAACAUUAUUACACCACAACAUAUCUACAAUAUAAAAUGUUGAAUACUACCAUACAACAAUAUCACAAUGAAUGUGUAUGCAUGUGUCUGUACCUUUGUGUGUGUCUCUUCACAGUCCC